RNAcentral lists this ribosomal RNA (336 nucleotides) under Triticum aestivum (bread wheat). Its description in RNAcentral is "partial small subunit ribosomal RNA". The record is from RNAcentral. Lineage: Eukaryota; Viridiplantae; Streptophyta; Magnoliopsida; Poales; Poaceae.
AUGCCGACCAAAGUGAAAUUUUUUGGGCGGAAAUCUUUACAUGGCAUGCUUCCAGGUCUCGCAAUUCUCGCGAAUAGGCAUAUCCCCACAAGUGCACAAUGCCCGGUUUGCAAGAAUGGCCCGGGAGAUAUUAAGCAUAUUAUGUUCACUUGUGACCAUGCAAAACAAGUCUGGAAGGCCUUGGGGCUAUUUGAUUAUAUUUCUGAGGUCAUUCCCGUUGACAGGUCAGGUUCAGUUAUUCUUGAGGAAAUUCUUCGAUGCCCACAUAAUUUUUGUCCGGCGGUUAAGAUGGGUAUAAAAGAGCUAAUUCUUCUGGGGGCAUGGUACAUCUGGUGA